UUGGAUAGAGAAGCAAGAAAAUAAUGAAAAAAACGAUGUAGAAAUUUUGUCGAAACUUUCAAAUCAUAGCAGAUUUCUGGAAACUGUUUACUCUGGAAUAGAUGAUUUGAAUACAAUCCAGAGGAAGUCUAUGAAUGCCACGACAAAUACACUUCUACACUUGUCUGA
Molecule: non-coding RNA, 168 nt
Organism: Styela clava
Lineage: Eukaryota; Metazoa; Chordata; Ascidiacea; Stolidobranchia; Styelidae
Source: RefSeq, a predicted model, not a curated record